GGAUGGAACAUGGGACCUGACUGGGA
Molecule: non-coding RNA, 26 nt
Filed under: Rattus norvegicus (Norway rat)
Lineage: Eukaryota; Metazoa; Chordata; Mammalia; Rodentia; Muridae
Source: RNAcentral